Xylaria digitata is the source of this 92-nucleotide non-coding RNA. Lineage: Eukaryota; Fungi; Ascomycota; Sordariomycetes; Xylariales; Xylariaceae. The record is from the annotation of a GenBank genome assembly.
GCCCGCUUGGCUCACCGGUAGAGCGCCUCACUAGUAUAGGAUACAACCUAGAAGUGAUGAGGAGGCAACUGGUUCGACUCCAGUAGUGGGCA